Suncus etruscus (white-toothed pygmy shrew) is the source of this 102-nucleotide small nuclear RNA. The record is from RefSeq and is a predicted model, not a curated record. NCBI's taxonomy places the organism in Eukaryota, Metazoa, Chordata, Mammalia, Eulipotyphla, Soricidae.
GUGUUCGACAGCACGUAUACUUAAAUUGGAACGAUACAGUGAAGAUUAACAUGGCCCCCAUGCAAGGAUGACACGCAAAUUCAUGAAGCUUUCAAUAUUUUU